This 359-nucleotide ribosomal RNA is filed under the name uncultured bacterium. RNAcentral describes it as "partial 16S ribosomal RNA". It matches the Rfam family "Bacterial small subunit ribosomal RNA", at positions 8 to 343 of the family's 1533-position model. The record is from RNAcentral.
AGAGUUUGAUCCUGGCUCACNANNAAANCUGGNGGCGNGCUUAACACAUGCAAGUCGANCUAGNNNUAUNNNGAGCUUGCUUUUGAAAGUCGAGUGGCAAACGGGUGAGUAACGCGUANACAACCUGCCGUAAAGAUGGGGCCCACAGUCCGAAAGGACUGCUAAUACCGAAUGUUUGUGGAACUUCUGCUGGGAGCUCUACUAAAGAUGGCCUCUACUUGUAAGCUAUCGCUUUACAUGGGGUCUGCGUCUGAAUAAGUUAGUUGGGGGGGGGUAACGGCUUACCUAGGCGACAAUCAGUAUCCCGUCUGGAGAGGAGGAAGGCCACAUUUGGAACUGAACACGGUCCAACUCCUACG